Molecule: long non-coding RNA, 1836 nt
Organism: Chelonia mydas (Green sea turtle)
Lineage: Eukaryota; Metazoa; Chordata; Testudines; Cheloniidae
Exons: 3
Source: RefSeq, a predicted model, not a curated record
GGGGGCUCUGGGGCAGGGAGGGGACUUUAUGGUUGAAAUACAAUUUGGAGAGGGUUUCAUCUCACUUCAGGCAGAAUCUGCGGAUGCUGGGGUCGCGAUGGGGCAUUACAAACCCCUAAAAUACACCUGGGGCCAGAUUUUCAAGCGCUCUACCCCCGCCCCCACCGGUGAGAGCAAUAAGGAAUUUCCCCACCUCUUUCUCCAGGGGAACGGAGACUCUGCCCAGAGCUGCAGUACGAAAAGCCGCGAUGCCAUGUUCGCUUCACUUUGCUUUCCUAAAAAACCUGGUCCUGGCAAGUCCAAAGCGCAGAGCAGGCCCUCGCUAACACGCUCUGAUUCUUAAUACGAGCCACCUGUCCGACCAAGGCUGGGUCAGCUGCAUUCACAGAUCUUUCAGAGCCGGGGAUUAGCAAAACCUGAGACGGCUCAUUGAACUUCGCUGGCUAAGGGCGUGACCCGAGAGGAGCUGAACCAGUCCUGGCUCCCACUGGCUUCACCACCGCUACCGGUCAGGUCCUAAUACCGUUACCCUGAGCAAGGGGCUUCAACCCCCGGUCUCAAGGACAUUGAGACGAAGCACAGACCUGUCCCGGAGUGCAGCCAAGGCGGGGGCUUCUGAAGGGAAACUGGGUUUGAUCCCGGUCUGGCUGGGCUCUUCCUUGAAGCCGACCCUGAAAGGCGGUGUGUGGAGCAGCGGGGAGACUGAAGCCCCAGAGGUCCGUCUCCGCGGCACCAGAGGCCCUAGGAUGAGCCGAAAGCUCCGAUCCGUAAAGCCCCCAGGGGUGCAGUAUAAUGACUUCAGACUUGACUCUUCUCAUGAGCAACAUGACAAGCCAGUUAUGAAACAAGAGGGGACAGCCUGCCAGAGAGCAUUGCUUUGUUCAGAAGAGCUUCUCGGCCUCCGCUGACACAUUCACCUACGGCAUCUCGGCUGUCGAGUAAAGGAUCGUGGAGGAUUCAUUGGUUAUUGCAAAAAGCUUUGUAGAGAGAUGUUUUAAACAAUCCCAAACUAGUGUCUACCCUUUUACUGACCAUCUUCUGUAGCAGGCUCUAGCUUGCAAUGUGGGAACCAUUAGCUAAUCUUCUAGAUCUAGUUUUGGGUCCAGUCCUACAAGCCACAGCUUGGUGUUGGUUCCCAUUGCUAUCAAGGUGCAGCCCCUCACAGAACUGGGUCCUACGUAGCCAGUCUUGGCAGGCUGCUGCACGGAGGGGGUUCUCUAACACACAGGUGCAAUUAGCUAGAAUUGUUUUCUGGUAGUCUCUUCAUUCACACCCUGACUUUUUUUUUCUCCUUUUUUUAUCUCCUUUUUUUUCUUUUUUCCCCUUUUUUUAAAGAGACCAUUGAGUGUGAGGGGGAAAAUAGUGUCACCAGGGGGAAAAUAGUGUCACCAGAAAGUUAAAAUUUCACCAGGUGGCUUACAUGGCAUAUGCCUCCCCUGUCACACAUACAGCCCUGGUAGAGCACCCUUCCAGUUGGAUGCACCCCAGCCAUUUGUGUUUGGCCCCAACCUCCCUGGGCCCCUAGUACUUUUUAAAUGUCUGGAGUCUGAACAGAGUCCAGGCCAACUGGGGGCUGUAGGCAAACUCCUGGGGUACUGAUCUGUGUAGUACCCCCUUUUGAGAGAGGUGACCCUGCAGUCCAGCUCCAGGAACCACUGCUGACCCCUCAGACUUCCCAUAACAUAAGCAGUUGUAGGGGGUGGGGGGGUGUGUGCUCUGGGCUUGCAGUUUUAACUCUUCAAGGGCACGUGAUAGUGAAAGCCAAGAGCCAGGUCUGUAUUUUUUGUCUAGAUCUAAGUAAAGAGCAGUGUGCAGUCUGUCUGCAUUUCCUUGCCU